This 573-nucleotide long non-coding RNA is filed under the name Homo sapiens (human). Its description in RNAcentral is "HSALNT0070888". Lineage: Eukaryota; Metazoa; Chordata; Mammalia; Primates; Hominidae. The record is from RNAcentral.
AGGAACUAGAGUAGGUAGAGAAAGACCUGGCAAAGGUGGAUAGAGUGGUGGAGGAGGUAGAAGUAGGUGUUGAAAAGGGCCAGAUCAACGGACUCAGAGGGACUCGUGGAAAGGUGGCAGAUGGAGUAAAGGAGGAAGAAGAAGCUAGAGGGCUGGGGCUGUUAGAUGAGCCAGUUCAAGGAGAUCCCAAGUUUACCAAAGGGGCUAUUUUAGUCCUAAUUUGUCUUUUGUAAAUAAUUCACCAUUUCUGAAGACAUUUAACUGAAUUAGUGCUGUAAAGCAAAUAUAGUCAGAGCAAAAGCAUAUGAUAGCAAAGCAUAUAGUCAGUGGGAGAAGGUGCCUGAAAGAGAAUUACUGAAGGGAUUAACAGAUAGUUAAAUCAAAGGGAUGGGGAAACUUUAAAGCUGGGGAGGAAUCCCACUUGGUUAUUUCCUCACAGGAUCCCCAGAUCCAAGAGCCAAGGAACCCCUCUGAAAAUCGUGGGGUCAAAGGAGAGAUUCCCCUGCAUGCCCCCAGGUGUGAGAAGCCAGAGAAAAUCAGAAGAGGCCUCACGAGGAGAUACAUUUUCUUAAG